AGUAGGAGCCCUUCGAGGGUGACUGCGUACCUUUUGUAUAAUGGGUCAGCGACUUAUAUUUUGUAGCGAGGUUAACCGAUUAGGGUAGCCGUAGGGAAACCGAGUCUUAACUGGGCGUAUAGUUGCAAGGUAUAGACCCGAAACCCGGUGAUCUAGCCAUGGGCAGGUUGAAGGUUGAGUAACAUCAACUGGAGGACCGAACCCACUAACGUUGAAAAGUUAGGGGAUGACCUGUGGCUAGGAGUGAAAGGCUAAUCAAACCGGGAGAUAGCUGGUUCUCCCCGAAAUCUAUUUAGGUAGAGCCUCGGACGAAUACUUACGGGGGUAGAGCACUGUUAAGGCUAGGGGGUCAUCCCGACUUACCAACCCUUUGCAAACUCCGAAUACCGUAAAGUACUAUCCGGGAGACACACGGCGGGUGCUAACGUCCGUCGUGAAGAGGGAAACAACCCAGACCGCCAGCUAAGGUCCCAAAGUCAUAGUUAAGUGGGAAACGAUGUGGAAAGGCCCAGACAGCCAGGAGGUUGGCUUAGAAGCAGCCAUCCUUUAAAGAAAGCGUAAUAGCUCACUGGUCGAGUCGGUCUGCGCGGAAGAUGUAACGGGGCUAAACUAUGCACCGAAGCUGCGGAUUCAAACUUUGUUUGAGUGGUAGGGGAGCGUUCUGUAAGCCGUUGAAGGUGAACCGGGAGGUUUGCUGGAGGUAUCAGAAGUGCGAAUGCUGACAUGAGUAACGAUAAUGCGGGUGAAAAACCCGCACGCCGGAAGACCAAGGGUUCCUAUCCCAUGUUAAUCAGGGUAGGGUAAGUCGACCCCUAAGGCGAGGCCGAAAGGCGUAGUCGAUGGGAAACGGGUUAAUAUUCCCGUACUUGGUAUAAUUGCGAUGGGGGGACGGAGCAGGCUAAACAAGCAUGGCGUUGGUUGUCCAUGUGAAAGUGAGUAGGUUGAGAGUUUAGGAAAAUCCGGACUCUUAAGACUGAGACACGAGACGAGCACCCAAGGGUGUGAAGUUGUUGAUGCCAUACUUCCAGGAAAAGCCUCUAAGCUUCAGAUUAUACCGAAUCGUACCCCAAACCGACACAGGUGGUCAGGUAGAGAAUACUAAGGCGCUUGAGAGAACUCGGGUGAAGGAACUAGGCAAAAUUGUACCGUAACUUCGGGAGAAGGUACGCUCCUAUCUGUGAUGAGACUUGCUCUCUAAGCGGACGGGAGCCGCAGUGACCAG
RNAcentral lists this ribosomal RNA (1222 nucleotides) under Pseudoalteromonas shioyasakiensis. RNAcentral's name for it is "bacterial LSU rRNA". It matches the Rfam family "Bacterial large subunit ribosomal RNA", at positions 572 to 1789 of the family's 2925-position model. Lineage: Bacteria; Pseudomonadati; Pseudomonadota; Gammaproteobacteria; Alteromonadales; Pseudoalteromonadaceae. The record is from RNAcentral.